This 478-nucleotide ribosomal RNA is filed under the name uncultured bacterium. RNAcentral's name for it is "partial 16S ribosomal RNA". It matches the Rfam family "Bacterial small subunit ribosomal RNA", at positions 28 to 523 of the family's 1533-position model. The record is from RNAcentral.
GACGAACGCUGGCGGCGUGCUUAACACAUGCAGGUCGAACGGUAAGGCCCUUCGGGGUACACGAGUGGCGAACGGGUGAGUAACACGUGGGUGAUCUGCCCUGCACUUCGGGAUAAGCCUGGGAAACUGGGUCUAAUACCGGAUAGGACUCCGGACUGCAUGGUCUGGGGUGGAAAGCUUUUGCGGUGUGGGAUGGGCCCGCGGCCUAUCAGCUUGUUGGUGGGGUGAUGGCCUACCAAGGCGACGACGGGUAGCCGGCCUGAGAGGGUGACCGGCCACACGGGGACUGAGAUACGGCCCAGACUCCUACGGGAGGCAGCAGUGGGGAAUAUUGCACAAUGGGCGCAAGCCUGAUGCAGCGACGCCGCGUGAGGGAUGACGGCCUUCGGGUUGUAAACCUCUUUCAGCAUCGUCGAAGCGAAAGUGACGGUAGGUGCAGAAGAAGGACCGGCCAACUACGUGCCAGCAGCCGCGGUAA